CCCGCCGGACCUGACUGCUAUCGGAUUGAUACUAAGCCAUGCGAGUCAUUGUAGCAAUACAAGGCAGACGGCUCAGUAACGCGUAGUCAACCUAACCUAUGGACGGGAAUAACCUCGGGAAACUGAGAAUAAUGCCCGAUAGAACACUAUGCCUGGAAUGGUUUGUGUUCCAAAUGAUUUAUCGCCGUAGGAUGGGACUGCGGCCUAUCAGUUUGUUGGUGAGGUAAUGGCCCACCAAGACUAUUACAGGUACGGGCUCUGAGAGGAGUAGCCCGGAGAUGGGUACUGAGACACGGACCCAGGCCCUAUGGGGCGCAGCAGGCGAGAAAACUUUGCAAUGUGCGAAAGCACGACAAGGUUAAUCCGAGUGGUUUCUGCUAAAGGAACCUUUUGUCGGUCCUAGAAACACCGAUGAAUAAGGGGUGGGCAAGUUCUGGUGUCAGCCGCCGCGGUAAAACCAGCACCUCAAGUGGUCAGGAUGAUUAUUGGGCCUAAAGCAUCCGUAGCCUGCUUUGUUAGUUUUCGGUUAAAUCUAUACGCUCAACGUAUAGGCUGCCGGGAAUACUGCAAAGCUAGGGAGUGGGAGAGGUAGACGGUACUCGGUAGGAAGGGGUAAAAUCCUUUGAUCUAUUGAUGACCACCUGUGGCGAAGGCGGUCUACCAGAACACGUCCGACGGUGAGGGAUGAAAGCUGGGGGAGCAAACCGGAUUAGAUACCCGGGUAGUCCCAGCCGUAAACCAUGCAAACUCAGUGAUGCAUUGGCUUGUGGCCAAUGCAGUGCUGCAGGCAGCCGUUUAGUUUGCCGCCUGGGAAGUACGUACGCAAGUAUGAAACUUAAAGGAAUUGGCGGGGGAGCACCACAA
Molecule: ribosomal RNA, 864 nt
Filed under: uncultured archaeon
Lineage: Archaea
Description: bacterial SSU rRNA
Rfam family: Archaeal small subunit ribosomal RNA
Source: RNAcentral